RNAcentral lists this ribosomal RNA (465 nucleotides) under uncultured bacterium. Its description in RNAcentral is "partial 16S ribosomal RNA". It matches the Rfam family "Bacterial small subunit ribosomal RNA", at positions 28 to 507 of the family's 1533-position model. The record is from RNAcentral.
GACGAACGCUGGCGGUGUGCUUAACACAUGCAAGUCGAACGGUAAGGCCCUUUCGGGGGUACACGAGUGGCGAACGGGUGAGUAACACGUGAGUAACCUGCCCUCAUCUCUGGGAUAACAGUCGGAAACGGUUGCUAAUACUGGAUAUGAGCCUGCAAGGCAUCUUGUGGGUUGGAAAGAUUUUUUGGUUGGGGAUGGACUCGCGGCCUAUCAGCUUGUUGGUGAGGUAGUGGCUCACCAAGGCUUCGACGGGUAGCCGGCCUGAGAGGGCGACCGGCCACAUUGGGACUGAGAUACGGCCCAAACUCCUACGGGAGGCAGCAGUGGGGAAUAUUGCACAAUGGACGGAAGUCUGAUGCAGCAACGCCGCGUGCGGGAUGACGGCCUUCGGGCUGUAAACCGCUUUCAAUUGUGACGAAGCUUUUUGUGACGGUAGCAGUAGAAGAAGCACCGGCUAACUACGUG